This 408-nucleotide ribosomal RNA is filed under the name uncultured bacterium. RNAcentral's name for it is "partial 16S ribosomal RNA". It matches the Rfam family "Bacterial small subunit ribosomal RNA", at positions 28 to 526 of the family's 1533-position model. The record is from RNAcentral.
GACGAACGCUGGCGGCGUGCUUAACACAUGCAAGUCGAACGAAGUGGCGAACGGGUGAGUAAUACGUGAGUAACCUGCCCUCCUUUUGGGGGUAAGCCUUGGAAACGGGGUCUAAUACCGAAUUAAGUGGGAUGGGCUCGCGGCCUAUCAGCUGGUUGGUGGGGUGAUGGGCUACCAGGGCGGUGACGGGUAGCCGGCCUUAGAGGGUGACCGGCGACAUUGGGACUGAGAUACGGCCCAGAGUAGUACGGGAGGAGGCAGUGGUGGAUAUUGCACAAUGGGCGAAAGCAGGAUUCAGGGACGCCGCGUGAGGGAUGAAGGCUUGCGGGUUGUAAACCUCUUUCGAUAAAGAACGGGUAGGUGGAGAAGAAGCGCCGGCUAACUACGUGCCAGCAGCCGCGGUAAUUC